RNAcentral lists this ribosomal RNA (553 nucleotides) under uncultured bacterium. RNAcentral's name for it is "bacterial SSU rRNA". It matches the Rfam family "Bacterial small subunit ribosomal RNA", at positions 339 to 906 of the family's 1533-position model. The record is from RNAcentral.
CUACGGGAGGCAGCAGUGGGGAAUUUUCCGCAAUGGGCGAAAGCCUGACGGAGCAACGCCGCGUGAGGGAUGAAGGCCUCUGGGCUGUAAACCUCUUUUAUCAAGGAAGAAGAUCUGACGGUUCUUGAUGAAUAAGCCACGGCUAAUUCCGUGCCAGCAGCCGCGGUAAUACGGGAGUGGCAAGCGUUAUCCGGAAUUAUUGGGCGUAAAGCGUCCGCAGGCGGUCUGUCAAGUCUGCUGUUAAAGCGUGGAGCUUAACUCCAUUUCGGCAGUGGAAACUGACAGACUAGAGUGUGGUAGGGGCAGAGGGAAUUCCCGGUGUAGCGGUGAAAUGCGUAGAUAUCGGGAAGAACACCAGUGGCGAAGGCGCUCUGCUGGGCCAUAACUGACGCUCAUGGACGAAAGCCAGGGGAGCGAAAGGGAUUAGAUACCCCUGUAGUCCUGGCCGUAAACGAUGAACACUAGGUGUCGGGGGAAUCGACCCCCUCGGUGUCGUAGCCAACGCGUUAAGUGUUCCGCCUGGGGAGUACGCACGCAAGUGUGAAACUCAAAU